RNAcentral lists this ribosomal RNA (530 nucleotides) under uncultured bacterium. RNAcentral's name for it is "bacterial SSU rRNA". It matches the Rfam family "Bacterial small subunit ribosomal RNA", at positions 181 to 692 of the family's 1533-position model. The record is from RNAcentral.
UUCACCGAGGAAGGGGACGGGAAAGGUGGCCUCUGGAUCAAGCUACCGCCCCGGGAUGGGUUCGCGUCCCAUUAGCUUGUUGGUGGGGUCAAGGCCCACCAAGGCGACGAUGGGUAGCCGGCCUGAGAGGGUGAUCGGCCACACUGGGACUGGAACACGGCCCAGACUCCUACGGGAGGCAGCAGUGGGGAAUCUUGGGCAAUGGGCGCAAGCCUGACCCAGCGACGCCGCGUGUGGGAAGAAGGCCCUCGGGUCGUAAACCACUGUCAGGAGGGAAGAAAAGCAGAUCCCCAACAGGGGUCUGUAUUGACGGUACCUCCAGAGGAAGCACCGGCCAACUCCGUGCCAGCAGCCGCGGUAAUACGGAGGGUGCAAGCGUUAUUCGGAAUCACUGGGCGUAAAGCGCGCGUAGGCGGCAGCGCAAGUCAGAUGUGAAAGCCCUCGGCUAAACCGGGGAAUUGCAUCUGAAACUGCGUAGCUAGAGUUCGGGAGAGGGCGGCGGAACUCCCGGUGUAGGGGUGAAAUCCGUA